CGAAGCUAGGUGGUGCUAUUAUGGCGGGGGAAGGGUCUACUUCUGCUCCAUCGGAAUGCUUUUGGUGGCAGGUCUUUCUAUUACCGAUAUGGACCUCAGGGUCUCAUUCUGUACCUAGGAGCUCGGACUGAGUCUAGUUUAGGUCCAUCCGAGGGUUUGCCUUUUCCUUCUGCACUUCUUCACUUUUCUGCUUUUUGGAUGGGUGCUCUCCCCCGAGUGAAGGCAUAA
This is a non-coding RNA of Vicia faba (fava bean), 228 nucleotides long. Lineage: Eukaryota; Viridiplantae; Streptophyta; Magnoliopsida; Fabales; Fabaceae. The record is from the annotation of a GenBank genome assembly.